CGCGAGCUGGGUUCAGAACGUCGUGAGACAGUUCGGUCCCUAUCCGUCGUGGGCGCAGGAAAUUUGAGAGGAUCUGUCCUUAGUACGAGAGGACCGGGAUGGACAUACCUCUGGUGUACCAGUUGUUCUGCCAAGAGCACCGCUGGGUAGCUACGUAUGGAUUAGAUAAUCGCUGAAAGCAUCUAAGUGAGAAACUAACCUCGAGAUGAGAUUUCCCAUUCGUCAGAAGUAAGACCCCUGAGAGACGAUCAGGUAGAUAGGCUAGAAGUGGAAGUGUAGUGAUGCAUGGAGCGGACUAGUACUAAUAGGUCGAGGACUUAACCAAG
RNAcentral lists this ribosomal RNA (326 nucleotides) under Oenococcus oeni. RNAcentral describes it as "bacterial LSU rRNA". It matches the Rfam family "Bacterial large subunit ribosomal RNA", at positions 2599 to 2925 of the family's 2925-position model. Lineage: Bacteria; Bacillati; Bacillota; Bacilli; Lactobacillales; Lactobacillaceae. The record is from RNAcentral.